UGAUCGCCGUGCGUUCAGUAUUGUGUUAACUGCGUUCCGCCGGUCACAAUCUUGACCUAAAACGAAUGGAACUGUGGGAACGUUACAUUUGAAAACCUAGGUGGAUCUGUGGGCAGAGGAAGUGAUACCAACUUAUCGACAUUGAGGCCACUGCCAUUUUAUUACCAGCCAGUGACCAGAGCAGCGGUUUAUAACUUUUUAAAAUUACUAACCAGUGACUUGCGUAUUUUUUUAAUUGUUGGUGGCCAGUGUUUUUUUUAUAAAAUCCGUCAAGUGUGUUUUGUUUUUGUGUUCGUUUGAAUGUUUCGUAAUGUAUUCUCGGACUUUAUGGAUUUUGGUGCUGGUGAUUUUUACUGACGCGAUAAAGGUU
Cydia fagiglandana is the source of this 370-nucleotide long non-coding RNA. RefSeq lists it as uncharacterized. The transcript is spliced from 2 exons. NCBI's taxonomy places the organism in Eukaryota, Metazoa, Arthropoda, Insecta, Lepidoptera, Tortricidae. The record is from RefSeq and is a predicted model, not a curated record.